This 439-nucleotide ribosomal RNA is filed under the name uncultured fungus. RNAcentral's name for it is "eukaryotic LSU rRNA". It matches the Rfam family "Eukaryotic large subunit ribosomal RNA", at positions 1 to 432 of the family's 3401-position model. Lineage: Eukaryota; Fungi. The record is from RNAcentral.
GACCUCAAAUCAGGUAGGACUACCCGCUGAACUUAAGCAUAUCAAUAAGCGGAGGAAAAGAAACUAACGAGGAUUCCCCUAGUAACUGCGAGUGAAGCGGGAAGAGCUCAAAUUUGAAAUCUGGCGGUCUGCUUGACCGCCCGAGUUGUAAUCUAGAGAAGUGUUACCUGUGCUGGACCGUGUACAAGUCUCCUGGAAUGGAGCAUCAUGGAGGGUGAGAAUCCCGUCUUUGACAUGGACUACCUGCACGCUGUGGUGCGCUCUCAAAGAGUCGAGUUGUUUGGGAAUGCAGCUCAAAAUGGGUGGUAAAUGCCAUCUAAAGCUAAAUAUUGGCGAGAGACCGAUAGCGAACAAGUACCGUGAGGGAAAGAUGAAAAGAACUUUGGAAAGAGAGUUAAACAGUACGUGAAAUUGCUGAAAGGGAAACGCUUCAAGUCAG